AACGAACGCUGGCGGCAGGCCUAACACAUGCAAGUCGAACGCCCCGCAGGGGGAGUGGCGCACGGGUGAGUAAUGCGUGGGAACGUACCCAGCAGUACGGAGUAACCCAGGGAAACCUGGGCUAAUACCGUAUACGUCCUAAGGGAGAAAGAUUUAUCGCUGUUGGAGCGGCCCACGUCGGAUUAGCUAGUGGGUGAGGUAACGGCCCACCAAGGCUACGAUCCGUAGCUGGUCUGAGAGGACGACCAGCCACACUGGGACUGAGACACGGCCCAGACUCCUACGUGAGGCAGCAGUGGGGAAUAUUGGACAAUGGGGGCAACCCUGAUCCAGCCAUGCCGCGUGGGUGAUGAAGGCCUUAGGGUUGUAAAGCUCUUUCGACGGGGACGAUAAUGACGGUACCCGUAGAAGAAGCCCCGGCUAACUCCGUGCCAGCAGCCGCGGUAA
This 447-nucleotide ribosomal RNA is filed under the name uncultured bacterium. RNAcentral describes it as "partial 16S ribosomal RNA". It matches the Rfam family "Bacterial small subunit ribosomal RNA", at positions 29 to 523 of the family's 1533-position model. The record is from RNAcentral.